Non-coding RNA from Pelobates cultripes (western spadefoot toad), 76 nucleotides. The record is from the annotation of a GenBank genome assembly. NCBI's taxonomy places the organism in Eukaryota, Metazoa, Chordata, Amphibia, Anura, Pelobatidae.
UGUAUGUGUGUGUGUGUGUGUGUGUAUAUAUAUAUAUUGCUAUAUAUAUACACACACACACACACACACACACAUA